UACGGGGGGGGCAAGCGUUGUUCGGAAUUACUGGGCGUAAAGGGCUCGUAGGCGGCCAACUAAGUCGGAUGUGAAAUCCCCAGGCUUAACCUGGGAACUGCGUCUGAUACUGGAUGGCUUGAAUUCGGGAGAGGGAUGCAGAAUUCCAGGUGUAGCGGUGAAAUGCGUAGAUAUCUGGAGGAAUACCGGUGGCGAAGGCGGCAUCCUGGACCGACAUUGACGCUGAUGAGCGAAAGCUAGGGGAGCAAACGGG
This 253-nucleotide ribosomal RNA is filed under the name uncultured bacterium. RNAcentral's name for it is "partial 16S ribosomal RNA". It matches the Rfam family "Bacterial small subunit ribosomal RNA", at positions 524 to 776 of the family's 1533-position model. The record is from RNAcentral.